Molecule: ribosomal RNA, 754 nt
Filed under: uncultured Comamonadaceae bacterium
Lineage: Bacteria; Pseudomonadati; Pseudomonadota; Betaproteobacteria; Burkholderiales; Comamonadaceae
Description: bacterial SSU rRNA
Rfam family: Bacterial small subunit ribosomal RNA
Source: RNAcentral
AUUUGAACGCUGGCGGCAUGCCUUACACAUGCAAGUCGAACGGCAGCACGGGAGCAAUCCUGGUGGCGAGUGGCGAACGGGUGAGUAAUACAUCGGAACGUGCCCAAUCGUGGGGGAUAACGCAGCGAAAGCUGUGCUAAUACCGCAUACGAUCUACGGAUGAAAGCAGGGGAUCGCAAGACCUUGCGCGAAUGGAGCGGCCGAUGGCAGAUUAGGUAGUUGGUGAGGUAAAGGCUCACCAAGCCGUCGAUCUGUAGCUGGUCUGAGAGGACGACCAGCCACACUGGGACUGAGACACGGCCCAGACUCCUACGGGAGGCAGCAGUGGGGAAUUUUGGACAAUGGGCGAAAGCCUGAUCCAGCCAUGCCGCGUGCAGGAUGAAGGCCUUCGGGUUGUAAACUGCUUUUGUACGGAACGAAACGGCCUUUUCUAAUAAAGAGGGCUAAUGACGGUACCGUAAGAAUAAGCACCGGCUAACUACGUGCCAGCAGCCGCGGUAAUACGUAGGGUGCAAGCGUUAAUCGGAAUUACUGGGCGUAAAGCGUGCGCAGGCGGUUAUGUAAGACAGUUGUGAAAUCCCCGGGCUCAACCUGGGAACUGCAUCUGUGACUGCAUAGCUAGAGUACGGUAGAGGGGGAUGGAAUUCCGCGUGUAGCAGUGAAAUGCGUAGAUAUGCGGAGGAACACCGAUGGCGAAGGCAAUCCCCUGGACCUGUACUGACGCUCAUGCACGAAAGCGUGGGGAGCAAACAGG